GUUAUAGUUUAUUUGAUAUAUUAAAUGGAUAACUGUAGAAAAACUAGAGCUAAUACAUGCCGAAGCCGCAAGGUUGUAUUUAUUAGAUAUUCCAAUUAGGUGAAUCAUGAUAACUUUUCAAAUCUCGGUUUUGCCGAGAUAAAUCAUCCAAGUUUCUGCCCUAUCAUGCUUUCGAUGGUAGUGUAUUGGACUACCAUGGCUUUCACGGGUAACAGGGAAUUAGGGUUCGAUUCUGGAGAAGGAGCCUGAGAAACGGCUACUACAUCUACGGAAGGCAGCAGGCGCGUAAAUUACCCAAUCCUGACUCAGGGAGGUGGUGACAAGAUAUAACAACGCAAUUUAAUUGUGAUUGUAGUGAGGGUUUUCCAAACCGAACCACUAGUACGAUUAGAGGGCAAGUCUGGUGCCAGCAGCCGCGGUAAUUCCAGCUCUAAUAGCGUAUAUUAAAGUUGCUGCAGUUAAAAAGCUCGUAGUUGGAUUUCAAGGAUUGUGUACUCUUCUAGGGUAUGCACCCUACUAGUCUUUGACUGUUACUGUGAGAAAAUUAGAGUGUUUAAAGCAGGCAAUUGCAAGAAUACAUUAGCAUGGAAUAACGAAUGUAUCUAGAAUCUUGGUUAAUUCUAGGUUUCGAUUAAUAGAGACAGUUGGGGGCAUUAGUAUUUAAUUGUCAGAGGUGAAAUUCUUGGAUUUGUUAAAGACUAACGUAUGCGAAAGCAUUUGCCAAGGAUGUUUUCAUUA
This 738-nucleotide ribosomal RNA is filed under the name Dasytricha ruminantium. RNAcentral's name for it is "SSU rRNA". It matches the Rfam family "Eukaryotic small subunit ribosomal RNA", at positions 109 to 975 of the family's 1831-position model. Lineage: Eukaryota; Ciliophora; Litostomatea; Vestibuliferida; Isotrichidae. The record is from RNAcentral.